RNAcentral lists this ribosomal RNA (226 nucleotides) under uncultured bacterium. RNAcentral's name for it is "partial 16S ribosomal RNA". It matches the Rfam family "Bacterial small subunit ribosomal RNA", at positions 118 to 347 of the family's 1533-position model. The record is from RNAcentral.
UGGGCAACCUGCCCCUAGCUCCGGAAUAACCCCGGGAAACCGAGGCUAAUACCGGAUACGACCCUGCGCGGCAUCUCGCGGGGUGGAAAGUUUUUCGGCUAGGGAUGGGCCCGCGGCCUAUCAGCUUGUUGGUGGGGUAAUGGCCUACCAAGGCGACAACGGGUAGCCGGCCUGAGAGGGUGAUCGGCCACAUGGACUGAGACACGGUCCCAGACUCCUACGGGAG